AGGACGAACGCUGGCGGCGUGCUUAACACAUGCAAGUCGAACGAAGCUCUCACGCUUGAGUUUCGGACAAGAGGUGAGAUGACUUAGUGGCGGACUGGUGAGUAACGCGUGAGCAACCUGCCCUCCGGUGGGGGACAACAGUUGGAAACGACUGCUAAUACCGCAUAAUGUACAGAGACCGCAUGAUCUUUGUACCAAAGCUUUAUGUGCCGGAGGAUGGGCUCGCGUCUGAUUAGAUAGUUGGCGGGGUAACGGCCCACCAAGUCGACGAUCAGUAGCCGGACUGAGAGGUUGAACGGCCACAUUGGGACUGAGAUACGGCCCAGACUCCUACGGGAGGCAGCAGUGGGGAAUAUUGGGCAAUGGAACGAAAGUCUGACCCAGCAACGCCGCGUGAAGGAAGAAGGCCUUCGGGUUGUAAACUUCUUUUGUCAAGGACGAUAAUGACGGUACUUGACGAAUAAGCCACGGCUAACUACGUGCCAGCAGCCGC
This 493-nucleotide ribosomal RNA is filed under the name uncultured bacterium. RNAcentral's name for it is "bacterial SSU rRNA". It matches the Rfam family "Bacterial small subunit ribosomal RNA", at positions 26 to 518 of the family's 1533-position model. The record is from RNAcentral.